GAUGAAGAACGCAGCGAAAUGCGAUACGUAAUGUGAAUUGCAAAUUCAGUGAAUCAUCGAGUCUUUGAACGCACAUUGCGCCCCCUGGUAUUCCGGGGGGCAUGCCUGUCCGAGCGUCAUUGCUGCCCUCAAGCACGGCUUGUGUGUUGGGCCCCGUCCUCCGAUCCCGGGGGACGGGCCCGAAAGGCAGCGGCGGCACCGCGUCCGGUCCUCGAGCGUAUGGGGCUUUGUCACCCGCUCUGUAGGCCCGGCCGGCGCUUGCCGAUCAACCCAAAUUUUUAUCCAGGUUGACCACGGAUCAGGUAGGGAUACCCGCUGAACUUAAGCAUAUCAAUAAGCGGAGGA
RNAcentral lists this unclassified non-coding RNA (345 nucleotides) under soil metagenome. RNAcentral describes it as "partial contains 5.8S ribosomal RNA, internal transcribed spacer 2, and large subunit ribosomal RNA". The stretch from base 1 to 119 matches the Rfam family "5.8S ribosomal RNA", at positions 35 to 154 of the family's 154-position model. The record is from RNAcentral.